GACGAACGCUGGCGGCGUGCUUAACACAUGCAAGUCGAGCGGAAAGGCCCUGCUUUUGUUGGGUGCUCGAGUGGCGAACGGGUGAGUAACACGUGAGUAACCUGCCCUUGACUUUGGGAUAACUUCAGGAAACUGGGGCUAAUACCGGAUAGGAGCUCCUGCUGCAUGGUGGGGGUUGGAAAGUUUCGGCGGUUGGGGAUGGACUCGCGGCUUAUCAGCUUGUUGGUGGGGUAGUGGCUUACCAAGGCUUUGACGGGUAGCCGGCCUGAGAGGGUGACCGGCGACAUUGGGACUGAGAUACGGCCCAGACUCCUACGGGAGGCAGCAGUGGGGAAUAUUGCACAAUGGGCGGAAGCCUGAUGCAGCAACGCCGCGUGCGGGAUGACGGCCUUCGGGUUGUAAACCGCUUUCGCCUGUGACGAAGCGUGAGUGACGGUAAUGGGUAAAGAAGCACCGGCUAACUACGUG
Molecule: ribosomal RNA, 468 nt
Filed under: uncultured bacterium
Lineage: Bacteria
Description: partial 16S ribosomal RNA
Rfam family: Bacterial small subunit ribosomal RNA
Source: RNAcentral